RNA transcript from Andrographis paniculata, 2059 nucleotides. It is a transcript of the gene named protein LPA3, with no coding region annotated. The record is from RefSeq and is a predicted model, not a curated record. The transcript is spliced from 13 exons. Lineage: Eukaryota; Viridiplantae; Streptophyta; Magnoliopsida; Lamiales; Acanthaceae.
AUGCCCCUCAAUGCGGCCGCCGGAAUUACUCCGGCGAUCAAAAUCGGUGCAGGAAAUAGGUACAAUUCUCUUCUAAUUGCUCCUGCCCGGGGACGCUUUCCACCUCUGUCCUCUACUUCUUCUCCUCCACUCAAACUCAGCACACUAACUGCUUAUUGCCGCAAGACGAGAACAAUCAGCGCAGAAGCCGCUAAGUUUGAGCCAAGAGUUAACCCAAAGGUUGGCGUUGCGGUUUACAAACCCCGAUCAUAUGAGGUUCUUGUGUCGGACGCCGCCACUUCGCUUUACUACGCUCUCCAAGAUGGAAAAACUCGUCUCGAAAUUGAAUUCCCUACUGACAUUCAUCUAUCAUUUCUUGAUCGUCGAUCUUUGGAGUGCAUUACCAGUCCCUUACCUAGCAAUGUUUCUUCAUAUAAGGGCUCAUCGGAUGAUUUCAGUGAUGCCAACAUUCAGCUUGCCUUGGCUGUUGUUAAAAAGUUGAAAGAGAAACAAGAGACGAGAGCACGCAUUGUAUUUCCUGAUAAGCCUGAAAAACGCAGGGCAUCAGAACUUUUCGGAACUGCUAUGGAUUUGAUUGAGGGUAUAACAAUAGGAUCCUUGGAUGAUGUUCCUAGUGGUGCCGUCACAACAUUUUUCAAAUCCUUAAGGGACACUUUUGAUUUCGAAUUUGGAGAUGAAGAUGAAGCAGGUCGCUGGAAAUCUGACGAGCCGCCUUCACUUUAUAUUUUCCUCGGCUGUAGCACUCGGGAUCUGUCUACUAUAGAGAAGUAUGUGGAAAACUUUGCGCCCACCACGCCGACUCUUCUCUUCAAUUUAGAACUGGACACAUUACGUGCUGACCUGGGCCUCAUAGGAUUUCCCAGCAGGGACGUGCAUUACCGGUUUCUUUCACAAUUUGUUCCUGUUUUCUACAUCCGUACGCGGGACUAUUCCAAGACAGUCGCGGUGGCGCCCUAUUUACUGAACUACAGUGGAGCAUUAUUCCGUCAAUACCCUGGGCCCUGGCAAGUGAUGUUGAAACAAGAAGACGGCGCCUAUGCUUGCGUCGCAGAGAGUGCGUCGCGUUUCACGCUGGGUGAAACUAAGGAAGAACUGCUGAGAGUGCUUGGACUUCAGGAGGAACAAGGAAGCUCAUUGGAAUUCCUACGAAAAGGCAUCAAGAGUGCAACUUGGUGGGAAGAAGAUGUCGACAGAGAGCUAUCAUCGGCGUGGCGCAGCUGAACAAGAACAUACACAUAUAAUGAAAUGCAAAAGAAUCAAUCCCUCGGGAAUCUGGAAAAGGAUGCAUAGUAAGGGCAUCACUAUUGUAGGUUCUCUUUAUCAGAUUCUACAAGUUCAUCAAAUUCUGAAUCAAAUGGUUUAUUUCUGGGCAUCACUAUUAUAGAUUCUUCAUCAGUUUCUACAGGUUCUUUGUCAAACUCCAAUUCAAAUUAUGCUCGUUUGUACAUAUGUUUAUUCUGAGCAAACAAAACUUGUUUGAGAUCAGGAGAUUGAAAAAGUUUAUAUAGAAGACAUCAAGUUUAAAGUAUUUUCUCCUAUUGUGAAAUAUAGCUCUAUUCGCAUGUUGCUUGCUAUGGUGGUUUUGUUAAACAUCGAGCUUGAACAACUUGAUGUUAAAGACACCUUUCCUAGUCGGAUAUUUAAUGUAUUUUCUUUUGUUAAAUACUAUCGAUGAAUAACACUAAACAUAGCCAUAAUAUCUUAAUAAAAAAUAAGUUUAGGAAAAGAAGUAUAAACUAUAAAGUACAAACAUAUAAUUUAGUUCUCUAUGGCACAAAGCAUUAAAUCUCAUAAACCAAGGAGUGGAAGACUUUUUAUCUAUUGCUAUUGCUAGUUAUAGCCAAAAUGAAACCUUAAACAUAUGCACAUCAUCAUCAUCAUCUUUGCAUACUAUUAUUUUGUUUCUUGGACAAGAUCCUUGUUCGAGCAAGCUCUACUAUACUACUAUGCAUGUUAAGCCCCGUAACCAGUUCAAGUCAUGACGCUCGAAUACUGCCAAAAAAAAAACAAACUAAAAAAUUCUACUUUGCCUAUUCGUUUGAAUGCAAAAGUAAACACA